GAAAUGCGAUAAGUAAUGUGAAUUGCAGAAUUCCGUGAAUCAUCGAAUCUUUGAACGCACAUUGCGCCCUCUGGCAUUCCGGGGGGCAUGCCUGUCCGAGCGUCAUUACGCACCCUCAAGCCCGGCUUGUGUGAUGGUCCCCGGCGUCUCGUGCGCGAGACGGGCCCGAAAGGCAGCGGCGGCGUCGACCCGAUGAGCCCGAGCGUAUGGGGACUUCUGUCACACGUUCGCGGUGCGGACCGGCGCCUGCUUGACUUUUCUGAUUAUCCAGGUUGACCUCGGAUCAGGUAGGGAUACCCGCUGAACUUAAGC
RNAcentral lists this unclassified non-coding RNA (312 nucleotides) under plant metagenome. Its description in RNAcentral is "partial contains 5.8S ribosomal RNA, internal transcribed spacer 2, and large subunit ribosomal RNA". The stretch from base 1 to 105 matches the Rfam family "5.8S ribosomal RNA", at positions 50 to 154 of the family's 154-position model. The record is from RNAcentral.